Molecule: ribosomal RNA, 149 nt
Filed under: uncultured freshwater bacterium
Lineage: Bacteria
Description: partial 16S ribosomal RNA
Rfam family: Bacterial small subunit ribosomal RNA
Source: RNAcentral
CUGAUCCAGCCAUGCCGCGUGCGGGAAGAAGGCCUUCGGGUUGUAAACCGCUUUUGUCAGGGAAGAAACGCUCUGGGUUAAUACCUCGGGGUAAUGACGGUACCUGAAGAAUAAGCACCGGCUAACUACGUGCCAGCAGCCGCGGUAAU